Homo sapiens (human) is the source of this 552-nucleotide long non-coding RNA. The record is from Ensembl. Lineage: Eukaryota; Metazoa; Chordata; Mammalia; Primates; Hominidae.
GCAAAACGUUAGCAGGACCCAAAUAGGAGUCACUGCCAGGGUGUUUAGUGAAGGGUUCACUGAGCCUUUGACAUUUGAACUGAGUCUAGAAGAAAGUCAUUAACUCAGCAGAGAAAGGGGGGAAAAAGCAGAAGAAAAAGUAUACAGUGGUUGAGAAGCACCAAACAACAUGCUGUUUGGAGGAGAAUUUAGAGUAUUCUUGCUGUGGCUGCAUGAGGAUCAUUUAAGAGAAGGAUCAAAAUGGGAAGUACCUGUGGGCCACGGGUGGAAAACUCAACAGGCUGCAGAGGCCAGGCAGAUGAUUUCAGCCAUUCUGAAAAGCAUAAGGAAAAGAAAAACCACCAGUGAUCUCAUAAUACAGACAUUUUGGAAUAUUUGAAAAGAUCACACCACUGCACUUCAACCUGGGACAAAGAGCAAGACUCUGACUAUAAAAACAAAAACCAAAAAAAGGUGUGCACUAUGCACAUAUGUACAUUUUUAGAAAAUUGUUUCUUACCCUAUGUAGAAUGUUAUAGCCUGCUUUUAACAUUUAAUCUGCACCAUGAGCAC